Molecule: ribosomal RNA, 464 nt
Filed under: Aristelliger nelsoni
Lineage: Eukaryota; Metazoa; Chordata; Lepidosauria; Squamata; Sphaerodactylidae
Description: partial 12S ribosomal RNA
Rfam family: Bacterial small subunit ribosomal RNA
Source: RNAcentral
UCAGCCGUUAACCUAGGCCGCACCACAUAUAGCAGCCCGCCAGAAAAUUACAAGUGAAAAACUUAAAACUCCAAGGACUUGACGGUGUCCCACACCAACCUAGAGGAGCCUGUCCUAUAAUCGAUACCCCACGUUAUACCUCACCCCAUCUUGCCAAGUCAGCCUAUAUACCGCCGUCGCCAGCCUACCUCCCAAGAGCAGUACGCCGUAAGCAACAAACUUCACUUCACUCGUACGUCAGGUCAAGGUGUAGUUAAUGAUGGGGCAGAGAUGGGCUACAUUUUCUAACGUAGAAUAUACCAACCGCAACAUGAAACAUGUGCUAUAAGGCGGAUUUAGUAGUAAAAUAGGCAAGACAAGCCAACUUGAAACAAGCCCUGGGACGCGUACACACCGCCCGUCACCCUCCUCGCCCAUAAUAAAGCCAAUAAAUAAAACCAACCCCACCAACAGAUGAGGUAAGU